RNAcentral lists this ribosomal RNA (973 nucleotides) under uncultured bacterium. RNAcentral's name for it is "bacterial SSU rRNA". It matches the Rfam family "Bacterial small subunit ribosomal RNA", at positions 8 to 1012 of the family's 1533-position model. The record is from RNAcentral.
AGAGUUUGAUCAUGGCUCAGGAUAAACGCUGGCGGCGUGCCUAACACAUGCAAGUCGAACGCGCAUGAGCAAUCAUGCGAGUGGCGGACGGGUGAGGAACACGUGGGUUAUCUACCUUGAGGUGAGGAAUACCGGCGAGAAAUCGCCGACAAUACCGCAUACGUUUCGCAAGAAACAAAGCUCAGCAAUGGGUGCCACAAGAUGAGCCUGCGCCCGAUUAGCUUCGUUGGUGGGGUAACGGCCUACCAAGGCGACAAUCGGUAGCUGGUCUGAGAGGACGAUCAGCCACACUGGGAUUGAGAACGGCCCAGACUCCUACGGGGGGCAGCAGUGAGGAAUUUUCGUCAAUGGGGGAAACCCUGAACGAGCAACGCCGCGUGCAGGAAGAAGGUUUUCGGAUCGUAAACUGCUUUUCUUGGGGACGAGAACGGACGGUACCCAAGGAAUAAGCCCCGGCUAACUACGUGCCAGCAGCCGCGGUAAUACGUAGGGGGCAAGCGUUGUCCGGAUUUAUUGGGCGUAAAGCGCACGCAGGCGGUCUUUUACGUUUUGAGUGACAGGUGGGGGCUCAACUCCCACAGGCCUUGAAAUACGGGAAGACUUGAGGGCUUCAGAGGGACGCGGAAUUCCAGGUGGAGCGGUGAAAUGCGUAGAGAUCUGGAAGAACACCGAAGGCGAAGGCAGCGUUCUGGGAAGCAACUGACGCUCAUGUGCGAAAGCUAGGGGAGCGAACGGGAUUGGAUACCCCGGUAGUCCUAGCUGUAAACGAUGACCACUAGACGUGGGGGGUAUCGACCCCUUCCGUGUCGCAGCAAACGCAUUAAGUGGUCCGCCUGGGGGAGUACGGUCGCAAGAUUAAAACUCAAGGAAUUGACGGGGACCCGCACAAGCAGCGGAGCGUGUGGUUUAAUUCGAUGCAACGCGAAGAACCUUACCAGACUUGACAUGGACUCGCACCAGCCGUAAUGGGCUG